RNAcentral lists this long non-coding RNA (162 nucleotides) under Piliocolobus tephrosceles (Ugandan red Colobus). Its description in RNAcentral is "Smith-Magenis syndrome chromosome region, candidate 2 conserved region 2 (ENSPTEG00000028886.1)". It matches the Rfam family "Smith-Magenis syndrome chromosome region, candidate 2 conserved region 2". The record is from RNAcentral. Lineage: Eukaryota; Metazoa; Chordata; Mammalia; Primates; Cercopithecidae.
UGGCUCCAGUAAGCGCCCUUGUAUCCUAUUGAGUGAGUCAAGGAUAAUAAGCCUGGUCCCUGGCAGGAUGCAGGAUUCUAUCCUGAGAUACACUCCCUCCUUUCCCCUAUUCCAGCCCACCAGGGCCUCUCCUCCGGGCAGGAAACAUGAUCUCCUUUUGAC